CACGCACACACACACGCACACACACACGCACCCACACACGCACACACACACGCACACACACACGCACAGCGAUGGGUCAGUGGAAUGGAGUCCUCUCGCUCUUUCCUUUUGUAUCGAGCGGAUGAGAAACAAGUGCAAACAGGAUCCGCUCAGAUCGACAUUGAUCUGGUUUCUCUGCUUGUGACUCCGUGUUUGUGUCUGUUUGCCGUCAUCACUUUGUCUCACUGGGUGUGUGUUCCACACGCGUGUGCCUCACAAUCCCCACGUGUUCCUGCCCGUGCACGCAGGUGUGUGUUUGUGUGUUUUCAUUCCACUAAUGGCUAGGAGUGUGUGUGUGUGUGUGUGGUCACGGUUGUGCGUGUUAUGUUGUAUCAACGGAUGCAUGUGUGUAUUCCGUGAGUCUCUGUAGGCAACAAAUGAUUGUUGAAGGUCACAUCCAAUCAGGAGCAAGGCUGCCUGGAUAGAACGAGAUGCAUGGAGAUGUAUGCAGGGCAGGGAUUCAAACAUAUAUGUUUCAAUUCACAUAUAUGUUUAUAUGCACAUGAAUGUGUAUAUAUUAGUUUUUUGUUUGGUACUUCUGAUACCAAAUUGUAAUUUAAUCCAGUCAGAAGUUCGGACACUUUCUCACUUAUUCGAAUGAGAAAAUGUCCACAGAGAAGAUUAAAGCACGAGAGGGAACUUUCUGUACGCUGCCGCCACAAGAACUCACCACACAACGCGAUCAUCAGGGUUGCAUCUCUAGUUCAAAGUAUUCUGUGCAACUGUCAGGGAAUUGACAUUAAUAAUAACCCUUCUGGACUCGAUGUUUCUACCCAUUAGUGAACAAAGCAGCGAGGACUCGUACCAUGGUUUGAUAUUAAAUACUACAAUCCAAUUCUUCUAUAUAUAUAUUUCUUGUCUUAAUUGAUUCUCACUAAAGAAGCGUUUGCAGGUCGUCGCUCUGCUUCCCCGGAGGAGCAGGAUGAAGUUCUUUCACCCUGAACCUUCACGUUGUUGCUGGUGGUGACUUUGCAUUUGUCAGGUUUCUCUCGGCUUCCUGUCGUACAUUCAGUCUGAAGGCUCCUUCCUUCACGGAUUGUAAGUGUGGCUCCAUAUUUCUGCGUGAUUAAAUGUGUGUUUGCGUAGGAGGAGGAGGAAGAGGAGGAGGAGGAGGAAGAGGGAGGUCAUAACCCAUUACUCACAGCUCUCUGUGUUUACUCUCAUCUAAUAGGAAAAACAACAUUGAUGCUUCCACCACAUUAUAAAUCGAUAUAUUACUCAAACGAGUUAUAAAUCAGGCUGCCGUGGCUUCGCCGGAGCAAUGGACUCUUCUGCAUUGAUUCCUUCACAGAUUUAAUAACAGCGUAGAGGAUCACUGGGCUGCAAUGUGAAGUGGAUGUAAUCACACCUCGGCCCAUUAAACGGGCCUCUGGCCUGGUGCUCGGUCGGCUGCCGGCCUCCGGGGGCCUCCGGGGGCCUCGGCCUGUGAACACCAUCGUUGCUUGGUGCGCGUCCGGGACGUCCCCGAUAUCGCUGAUAACUCAAAUCCCCGGGAGGACGCGUUCUCGGCAUCGAGCGUCGACUCAAAAUACGCAAUCAUGUCGUGAUUUAAUAGAAAAUAAUCGGACGAAAAGGAUCGUUUUUGUGACGGUGUGCGAGGAAGUUCUUCCCCCUCGUUGUUCUCCUGGUAGCCUCUGGUCAAAACGCAACCAAGCCACUGAGUACGUGAACCGAUCCAAAUAUCACUAAAGUCAUCGACACAAGCGCUUAACGGAAUAACACAGCGGCAUUUGUGCUCAUGACUGAUCAGCGAUCUGACAUCCACAUGUGGCCGUGGCUCAAAUCUCAUCUCAUCUCUAAUGAGGAGAAACGUGUUCACGUGGAUCACAAGCAGAACGCAGAUGUUUCCCUCAGGAGGCGCGAUGACAACAACAACAACAACAACAACAAAACGAGGAGAAAACUGUCACUUCAAACAACGUAUGUGGAGAUAAUUAGCAAACCCAAACAUUUUGGACACCUCGCCAAUCGUCUUUCAUGUCGGUGUUCCAGAGAAGUGGAGACAGAUUGAGGGAUGCAGAUAGAUGGAGAGACUCACUCUGGAGGUCCAACGCUGCAACGCAGAUGCUGGUUUAUUAUGUUUCAUAUUGGAUCUUUUUAAAAUUUCACUCACUGAAAAGAGAUGAAUGUCUCUGCUUCAUUUCACAUAAAAGAUGUUUCAUUAGUCCGUGAAGAACGUCUGCGUUUUGUGUCUUGAAACAAAAGGUGGACGUGGAGCUUUAAGGUCGGCGAGGACACGUCGUCGCUAAUCUGAUUGGACGUCGAGUCUGUGAGUGUGAGGAAUCGGUUCCUUCCUCCCCGAGUAGCUGUGAAUGAACCCAAAGAUCAACAUGACAUCUUAAUUUCCCCAGCGUGUUUCUCUUCAAUCUCCGUCACUCGCCCUUUAUUCUGCCUUUAAGUCCCACUGUCGCUCUCGCUCUUUGUCUCUCACGCACUGAUUCGCAGUCUGUUUCCGUCCUGCCACUCAAACUGAAAACCACACGGCCGCCUGUCCGGCCAAGGCUCGAAGCUAACGGUGCUAACGGCACUUAUGGUGGCAACGGUGCUAACGGCGCUUAUGAAGGUAACGGUGCUAACGGCGCUUAUGGAGGUAACGGUGCUAACGACGUUUAUGGAGGUAACUGUGCUAAUGGCGCUUAUGAAGGUAACGGUGCUAACGGGACUUAUGGCGAUAACGGCGCUUAUGGAGGUAACAGUGCUAACGGCACUUAUUGAGGUAACGGUGCUAACAGGGCUUAUGGAGGUAACGGUGCUAACGGCACUUAUGGAGGUAACGGUGCUAACAGGGCUUAUGGAGGUAACGGUGCUAACGGCACUUAUGGAGGUAACGGCGCUUAUGGAGGUAACAGUGCUAACGGCACUUAUUGAGGUAACGGUGCUAACAGGGCUUAUGGAGGUAACGGUGCUAACGGCACUUAUGGAGGUAACGGUGCUAACGGCGCUUAUGAAGGUAACAGUUCGCCCGCUCAUCUCAUGUUUAAUGCGACUUCUCUGACUGAGCAGAGUUUAUUAAAUCAACGGUUCCUUGCGUCAAGGAGGCCCAUCAGGUCUGAAAGGAGAUCAGUAAUAAACCAAAUGGUAAUUGUGUUGCAUCUCCAUGCCAAUAACUACAGACACAAAAGACGCACAAAAAGCCGACCGAGAGACACACACCAGACAUAAAAAAUGACUGAAUGAAUUCAGAGGUCCAAACUUCUGUAAUAAUAUGCAUCAUGACUACGAGACGCUGUCUCCCUCCCACACUGUCUCUCGCCCUCUUUCUCUCUCUCAGACACAUUUUUCUGGGGGCGAACAAGUUUGCUGCCUUGCUCAAAGGCUUCUAAAGAAGUAAACCACCCACCUUCUGGUCCCUGGCUCCCAGUGGGAGAGAAACACUGAGGGGCGGUGGGGUGGGGGGCUCCCGGGCGACUCCGGAUGUCCAAUUUUUCAUGACUUUAUAAUUUGCAGAAUGUGGCAUUUGAGACUUCCUACGGGGGUGUUUUGUAUUCCCACCAUCACUCUCGCUCUGUGCGCGGUUCGAUUUUUAACAUUUGGCAGCAUAUUAUUCAAUGUGAGCGAAAACAGCGCUCAUAUUUAAUCAUGAACCAACUUCCUAUUCAUGCAAAUGAAUGUUCCACUCUGCUUCCUGCGUCUGAAAUAAAGACCCAUCUGUAUUUUUAUAAAGACGUCUCUGGGUGAAGUAUUCAUUUAUUAGCAUGAACUCACACACACACUGUCCUUCAUUUGGACUCAACACCGUCCUGCUGCCCCACAAACUCACUGAACAAUAAUCACAUCACGUCUGAGAGGAACCCGACGAAAACACCACGGCUCCCGUUUGAGAACUGCAGCGACCAGCGGCUGAAAAUAAGCCUUUUGAAAAAUAAAUAACAAGAUUGAGAUUACAAAUUUGAAUAAUUUCAAUGGAAAAAAAGACGGUUGAAGCUCAUUAAUGUGUCAGUUUUGUUAAAGCUACGAAUGGUAACUUUAGUAAAAAUACACAUUUGCUCACAUUUACUUCGUGAACUGGUCCUGAGAGCAUUACACUCCAGGUGUGAGGUCUCAACCCCGGCGUGGCAGCAGGAGGCCGCGUCCUCCGGAGCCAAUCAGCAGAAUUCUAAACAACUGCGAGGGAGGACGCGUCCCCCCGGAGCCAAUCACCGAAAUUCGGAACACCCACGAGAGGACCUAUAAGAGCAGGCCGACGCAGCGACUGAGUUGUGAGGUAUUAUGACUACGCGUCUUUGCUGAUCCCCUUUGUUUCGCUGCCCCUGAAUUCCCGCGUAUUGACCUUCCGCCUCUCGACCACGAACCUGCCUUCUCCCUGGACCAGGUCCAUCUUUUGCCAUCCCGUGUCCCCGAACCUCUGCCCGUCCCCGGAUUCCCCGUUUAGCCUCAUCCCUUGAGACUACAGUUGCCUGUCGUCCCUAAAUAAACAUUGAGCGCUGUGCUUUUGGGUCUGAGUCGGUCUGCAGAGUCCAUUCCUCACACCAGGGUUAGAACACUUGGGAUUAGAUGUCUCUUUGGGUCAUGAAUCAGAAAACACCAACGAGCAUGUUUUGCU
Molecule: long non-coding RNA, 4582 nt
Organism: Gasterosteus aculeatus aculeatus (three-spined stickleback)
Lineage: Eukaryota; Metazoa; Chordata; Actinopteri; Perciformes; Gasterosteidae
Source: Ensembl